AGAGGUGGGUUGGCUUCUCCUCCCCCUCCGGUUCGGUUCGGUUCGGUUCGGGUUCGUGAGGUGUUCCGGUUCGGGGGUGAGAGGCAGAGAUGGCGGCGUCGGAUGUUGAGUACCGCUGCUUCGUCGGCGGCCUCGCCUGGGCCACGGACGACAACUCGCUCCACAACGCCUUCAGCCCCUUCGGCGAGGUCCUGGAGUCCAAGGUUAGGAUGAUUUCCUUUGGGGGUGGAGAACAAAACGAGAUUUUUGAAGGGGAAAUGGGGGGAACUGUCCAGAUCUGUGGUGGCGGAGGGUUUGGUGUGCUAGAUCUGAAGUGUUUCUGACAUGAUGCCUUGGCUUUCCCUUGCAGAUCAUCCUCGAUCGCGAGACCCAAAGGUCCCGCGGCUUCGGCUUCGUCACGUUCGCGAGCGAGCAGGCGAUGCGCGACGCCAUCGAGGGGAUGAACGGCAAGGAUCUCGACGGCCGCAGCAUCACCGUCAACGAGGCCCAGUCCCGCAGCGGCGGCGGCGGCUACGGUGGCGGCCGCGGCGGCGGCGGGCGCUACGGCGGCGGUGGUGGCGGCUAUGGCGGCGGUGGCUACGGCGGCGGCGGCGGCGGCUACGGUGGCCGUGGAGGCGGCGGCUACGGUGGCCGUGGAGGCGGCGGCUACGGCGGCGGCGGCGGCGGCGGCUACGGCAACCGCGGCGGCGGCGGCUACGGCAACUCUGAUGGGAACUGGAGGAACUGAGCGGUGGGGCCCGCGUGGCCAAGUUAUCUUGUCGCUACUACUGUUACCAGAGUUAUCCCUAUGUGUCUAGUGUCUUCGUCGUCGUCUCCGACCUGUGUUCGUCUUCUGUUUCCUGUUGUUGC
RNAcentral lists this long non-coding RNA (849 nucleotides) under Setaria italica (foxtail millet). RNAcentral describes it as "long non-coding RNA (SITA_LNC002653)". Lineage: Eukaryota; Viridiplantae; Streptophyta; Magnoliopsida; Poales; Poaceae. The record is from RNAcentral.